UGCCACCCUGCCUCCCAGAUAAUCUGGGCAUUAUCACCUGGAAGGCCUGGCUAGUGACGAAGAGGGACUCUGUGGGCAGACCGGGGGAGGGUGGCAGCUCUGCUUCUGCCUGCCUCUGUCUGGGGGAUGGGCAAGCCAGCGGCAGAGCUCACUGGGGCUCUGCUCACAGUGCCCGCCAAGCCUCCCGGGUUCGGGCGGCCCCACACUGCAGGCCACAUCAAGCUUAGUGCUCACGGCCAGGCCAGCGCUGAAGAAGGGACUCCUUGGACCCCAGCCCCAGAAGCUGCAGUUAACUCCACUGCCAGAGGAGGGGGUGGCCGACCACCACACCUCAGCAGCCACAGUGGCCACCGGUCAUGCUUCCGGGUAAUGCCAACGUCUGAGGUGCCAGGUGCGGGGGUGUGUGGCUGAUGAGACUUCAGACGACCUCCAAGUGUGAGCGUAAGCCGGGCGGGGACGGGGGUGGGGGGGGGUAGGCUGGGCAACCUCCAGAGAACGUCCUGUUCCCCCCUCCCCCCACCAACUCCAGGCCUGCACUCAGGGGCUCCCAGGAGUCAGCAGCAGACCUUUGGGGUUUAACUGCAGGUGAUGUUUCAAAUGGAAAACACUGAAUUAAAAUGCACAUGAAAAACAAACCAUUCAGUAGUUGCUUUUGGAGGAGGGGGUGGACUGAGAAAGGGCGUGAAGAACUUUCUGGAACUUUCUGACGGAAAUGUUCGUUUUCCCGACAGGGAUGUGGAUUGCACUGACAUUUGCAGUGGUCAGUGCAUGACUGACUGAACUGUCCACCUAGGAUCUAGGCAUUCCCUGCACAGAAGUUACACACGUUAUUUAGAGAGGAGCGGCAGGGAGGUGGUGGUAAGGAGUUCUGGAAGGAUGAGUUUUCCAGAUAAAAAUGGUAACAGUUUAAAAAUCAAAAACAUUUUUAGUUUCACUAUUUUGAAAGAAAACUAACAUGUCUCAACGUUCAAGAACUCAGAAAACAAAGAGCACCAUAUUUAAGCUCUUUGGCUGACUGUUUCUUCAACCUGAACACACCAGUGAUUGGGCUGAAGGAUAAUGGAAUCAGGCCACCCUCACGUCCACGCGGCUGCCUUGCACCAUCUCCGUCCGCCACCCUCAGUGCCCCACAAACAGCAGUCACAACACUGCACCGCAGUUAGAUUCCGUUCUACCUUGGCCCUGGAGAAGCUGACCGUCUGGCAAAGCACGUAGCCCCACGGUCCCAGCCUCGACUGGAGCCCAUGUGUCCAUACUGUGGGUUUCUGACUUGAGCUAGACUGUCAGCCACUCUGCAUCUCAGAGCAGCUCCUGCAUCCCGGAUCCCUGAAAUGACCCAGUUCAUCACAGCACCGACGCCCCCGACUAACCGCAGGAAGCAAUUUCAGCUAAUCAAGACGCUCAUCAGCUCUCCAGACUGGGCCACAACUUUUCCAGACAGCACACACAGGCCGGGAGAGGCGCUGCGGCAGACAAGCAGAUGCGAUUUCCACUUUUGUUCUCAUUAAACAGUAGCAUAAUCAUGAUUUAUAAAAAUAUUCAAAUCUUGAAAAGCAUGUCAAAGUGCAACCUCGUCAACUGAACUCGAAAAAGUGACGCGUUCCAUGUGCGUGAUUUGAAAUCUGAUUUUUUUUUUUAAAUAGCCUCAAGGAAAUGUGGAGUUGGGGAAAGUAAUCAGGUUUUAAAACUCUUUUCUAGGAAAUAAUUAAUUAUGUUUCCAAACUCAAAAUAGAUGGGUUUUUUAUAAACCUAGAAAUCAACUUCCAAAACUGUUUUAAAUCAGGGAAAAAUGUGUUAAAAGUGGCUUCAGAGUCACAGUUGAUUGGCCAUCACAUAAAAAUCAUGUCGUCGCUAUCAGAAUCUUGUCUGUUUCUCCGCCUUUCUGGCCUGGGGGGAGGUGGGUGAUGGGAGGGGGGGUCUCUAGAAAUACAAACCAGC
This 1938-nucleotide long non-coding RNA is filed under the name Suricata suricatta (meerkat). Its description in RNAcentral is "lncRNA (ENSSSUG00005020797.1)". The record is from RNAcentral. Lineage: Eukaryota; Metazoa; Chordata; Mammalia; Carnivora; Herpestidae.